RNAcentral lists this ribosomal RNA (477 nucleotides) under uncultured organism. RNAcentral describes it as "partial 16S ribosomal RNA". It matches the Rfam family "Bacterial small subunit ribosomal RNA", at positions 333 to 801 of the family's 1533-position model. The record is from RNAcentral.
ACACUCCUACGGGAGGCAGCAGUGGGGAAUUUUGGACAAUGGGCGAAAGCCUGAUCCAGCAAUGCCGCGUGAGUGAAGAAGGCCUUCGGGUUGUAAAGCUCUUUUGUCAGGGAAGAAACGGUGAGAGCUAAUAUCUUUUGCUAAUGACGGUACCUGAAGAAUAAGCACCGGCUAACUACGUGCCAGCAGCCGCGGUAAUACGUAGGGUGCAAGCGUUAAUCGGAAUUACUGGGCGUAAAGCGUGCGCAGGCGGUUUUGUAAGUCUGAUGUGAAAUCCCCGGGCUCAACCUGGGAAUUGCAUUGGAGACUGCAAGGCUAGAAUCUGGCAGAGGGGGGUAGAAUUCCACGUGUAGCAGUGAAAUGCGUAGAUAUGUGGAGGAACACCGAUGGCGAAGGCAGCCCCCUGGGUCAAGAUUGACGCUCAUGCACGAAAGCGUGGGGAGCAAACAGGAUUAGAUAUCCGUGUAGUCCCAUGAU